This 465-nucleotide ribosomal RNA is filed under the name uncultured bacterium. Its description in RNAcentral is "partial 16S ribosomal RNA". It matches the Rfam family "Bacterial small subunit ribosomal RNA", at positions 28 to 507 of the family's 1533-position model. The record is from RNAcentral.
GACGAACGCUGGCGGCGUGCUUAACACAUGCAAGUCGAACGGUAAGGCUCCAGCUUGCUGGGGUACACGAGUGGCGAACGGGUGAGUAGCACGUGGGUGACCUGCCCUGCACUUCGGGAUAAGCCUGGGAAACUGGGUCUAAUACCGGAUAGGACCGCACCGUGAGGGUGUGGUGGAAAGUUUUUUCGGUGUGGGAUGGGCCCGCGGCCUAUCAGCUUGUUGGUGGGGUAAUGGCCUACCAAGGCGGCGACGGGUAGCCGGCCUGAGAGGGUGGACGGCCACAUUGGGACUGAGACACGGCCCAGACUCCUACGGGAGGCAGCAGUGGGGAAUAUUGCACAAUGGGCGGAAGCCUGAUGCAGCGACGCCGCGUGGGGGAUGACGGCCUUCGGGUUGUAAACUCCUUUCACCAUCGACGAAGGGUUUCUGACGGUAGAUGGAGAAGAAGCACCGGCUAACUACGUG